Mercurialis annua (annual mercury) is the source of this 4185-nucleotide RNA transcript. RefSeq lists it as uncharacterized. The record is from RefSeq and is a predicted model, not a curated record. The transcript is spliced from 12 exons. NCBI's taxonomy places the organism in Eukaryota, Viridiplantae, Streptophyta, Magnoliopsida, Malpighiales, Euphorbiaceae.
AUUUUAGCUCAAAUAUGGGUAAAAGCUAGCAUGCAAAUGUUGGAAAGCAUAUUUACCCUUACAAAACUCCUUCAACACAACUUUUAACCAUCAAGGCACAAUAACUUGUAAGAUUAAAGUUCAAACAUUAGUGAAAGCUAUUAUGUAAAUGCUAAGGUUCCAGGCACUAGAUAACUGUUCGGAAUCUGUUUGGUAUCCGGAGACGCUAGAUAUUGGUGCACAUGAAUUGUUUCUGCGAUUGUUUAAAGAGAAGCUGCCUAAUCUCUAACAAGCCCACUGCUGCUGAUGAACAACUACAUAAAGACAAAACCAAUCGAACACUUCACACAUACGGGCUUUCUGUACCUAAGGAGGGGAGUGUUAAAAUUAUCAUAAUUGGGAUGAAGUAACAAGUUGCAAUGGUUUCAAUCUCCAUUUUACCAAUCUCUAUUACGUUAUGUGGCGGCAUAUCAAGGCGGUUAUUACUCCUAAAGAGGUUUUGUUUCGCGAUCCACUUGAUGAAAAUGUUAUUCCAGCUGUUGAGGACCUUUUCUCAGCAUCACAACGAUGAACAAAGGUUUGGCCUAGUGGUCUUUUUUCUUCAGUUGGUCAGCCAAGCAAUAUAGUGUUAGAUGGAUUCAAGGAUUGCGAUCAACUCAAGUAUGGGAUACAAAUUCUAAUUUUGGAAAAGGAACUUGGUGGGAUUAUUAAGUUUUGCUGAUUUGUUUUCUAAGAAUCUACCGGUUGUUUGGAGAUAUGUGGGAGGUUGAAAAAUGGGUUUGCUUGAGAUUUAGAGUUUUUUUUUUAUCUUUGGUUCUUGGCUGUUGUGUCUCUACUUGCUUUCGUUGAAUUGUUAUAUGACUUUCCAUAUCAUAUCUCAGUUGAUCAUGUGAAGAAUGCCAUAUAUUUGGUAAUUUGGAUCUUGAAUCGGAUGAAAUGCAAGAUUAACUUGCAAAAUUUUCCAAGUUUUUAAAUAAAGCAAGGACCAUGAUAUAUCCUCCAGUAAAGAAUUCUUUAAAAGUAGGUGGUAUUUUACCUGGAUUAGGGGAUAUUGUGGAUAAGGAACAUAAGAGACUUCUUGCUUGUAAAUCAAUUAUUGAGAAGAGAAAGGAACAACAAGAAUGUCAACUACAACGAGGGGAGUCGUCAAGGAGGCUGCAAUAACAGAAGAAAAGAGAAGAGACAGAGCAGAAGAAGCAUGCUUUUGAACUUGAGCGAAGGAAGAAGAACCAAAUGAUCCUUCAAGAAUUAUUAUAGGCAUUGCUAGAGGAGAGAAAAGGUAAGAGAGAAAUGCUUCACUAAUAUAAACUGCCUUUCAACAGCGAUUAGUGGAAGAGACGGCCCUUCAUCAACGUAAGCAGAAGCUAGAGACUGAACUGAGGAGACAACAUCAUGAUAGGGACCUCAAAGAGAAGAAUAGGUUGUCUCAGAUGCUUGAAAACAAGAUAAUUUUCCAAGAGCGGUAGGAGAGGUCAGAAAGAAUAGAUUAGAUCAUUCAUGCUCGGAAGCAAGAGAGGGAGGCCACGAGAUAGAAAUUUUAUUAUGUGAAGUGUGAAGAGGAGAGGCUGAGAAAGCUGCAUGGUAGGAAUUCCAGAAGCAUGAAGAGGCUGAGAGACUAAGGAAAGUAGAAGCUAAACACGCGACAAAAUUAGAUGAAAUUGCUGAGAAACAGAGGCAAAAAAAGAGGAGAUUAACUGACGCCUCUUCUAGAAGUAUUUUAAAACCAAUACUUUAAUUUUUUUAUUAGGCACUAGUAUAUUAGUGGCUAUUUCUCACUCGCAUGUGCUCUUUUCUUGGUGUAGAAUGGGCACUAUAUGAAUAGGCGACAAUUGCAGCUAUGGACUGCCAAUUUCUUGAUGUUGCAAAGGUAUUACAUUCAGUUGUUGCAGCUAAUUUCAUUGAAUAUGCAGAUGUGAAGCUUGUUUCCUCCAGAUCAACAAGUGUCUUCUGAAGCAGAAUUACCCUUUGAGUCUUGGUCAGCUAAAGGCUGUCAUUAAACCAUCCCUUAAUGAUCAUGACGAUCCCCAAUGUGAAGAGGAGAGGCUGAGAAAGCUGCAUGGUAGGAAUCCCAGAAGCAUGAAGAGGCUGAAAUGUUCAUUUUUUAUUAUUUUUCAGCUUCCACGCAGUAGUCUUUAAACAGAACACUUAUCAUAAUUAUUAGUUGAUGCUCAUAUAUAUGUUCUUGCAAAGAAUAAAUUCGAGUUUGAAACAAAUCCUUGACACCUAUUCAGAUCCCAAGUUUUAUGUUAUGUAUCAGGCAACCAAGAGGUAAAUGUCAAUUCUGAUUUCCAAUUUUUAAGAUAUAAGAAGCAGAAAGAUAAGUUUUUUCUCCCCUUUAGUUAAUUCUGACUGUAAUUUUAGUUACGAUUUUAUGGAAUUGCAUGAUUACUAUUAUAGUACUACGUACUUCAUACAUUUAGUGAUGAAGGGGAAGGAACAUGCAGCGGAGAGAGUGAGACUGACUCCCUCCCCGGAGGGGAGGAGGCUUUCCCGAAGCCAAAAGGGAGGUACCGUAAUAGUAAAUAAAAAAUAAAAAUUAAAAAUUAAAAGCAACAAUAAGAAACGACAGUUUCUCUUAUAGGAUUUGAAGUUUAGAGUUUUAUAUUUGCUCACUAUUAGUAUUACAUUAAUUUUGAAAUCUUUUUGAUGUCUGUAUUUACUGCUUUGAUAACAGGGGUUUUAAGAUAUUGUUCAGAGCAUAAGAUUAAACUAUUGAAGAUUGAUCAUUUAUGUCUUUCUCGCGUUUGCUCAGAGACAGUAGGUGGACUUCCCGAUUUUUUCCUAUGCCUUAACCGAAACUGAGUAUUGACUCCGGGCGGUUUGAAAAAUCUUUUCUUAAUUUUGUAGGAUGUCAUUAUCUUACAUUGUCUACUACAUACUAUAGUAGUUUGGUUAAUGGUUUUAAUCUUCACUUCAGGAACAAACACAAAUAUAAGUGCUCUUUCUUCUUUUUAAAUUUAAAUUAUAUACUUUGAUUUAUAAUUGUGAAGUUUGGUUUUAUCGUUAUUGAAUUGUAUGAUUAUUAUUUUUACCAAGUAAAAAAUUAACGAAUUUUAAAAAUAAUACGAUUGUUUUUACAAGUUAUGCAUAUUUUUCUUUUAAUUAAAUUAUGAAUGUUUUUUUUAAAUUUGCAUCCGCGGUUAUAUUAUUUGUACAACUAGGGUUAGGAAUAGGGUUUUGGUAUACUUAGGAUUAGGGUUUAUGUAUUAGGGUUAGGAUUAUGGUUUAAGGUUAGUAUGUUUAGGGUUAGGCUUUCAAUAUUAAGGUUUAGGGUUUAGUAUAUUUAGGAUUAGGUUUUAAGGUUUACUAUAUUUUAGGUUAGGAUUAGGGUUUCAGGGUUUAGGAUUAGGGUUAGUGUUAGUGUUAGGAUAAGGGUUUAGAAUUUAAGGUAUUAGCUAUUAGGGUUUUGUAUAUUUAGAAUUAGGGUUUAAGGUUUACUAUAUUAUGGGUUAGUAUUAGGGUUUAGGAUUAGGGUUAGUAUUAGUGUUAGGAUAAGGGUUUAGAAUUUAAGGUAUUAGCUAUUAUGUAUAUUUAGAAUUAGGGUUUAAGGUUUACUAUAUUUUAGGUUAGGAUUAGGGUUUUAGGGUUUAGGAUUAGGGUUAGUGUUAGUGUUAGGAUAAGGGUUUAGAAUUUAAGGUAUUAGCUAUUAGGGUUUUGUAUAUUAGGAUUAGGGUUUAGUAUAUUAGGAUUAGCUCCAGGUAAAUUUAACUUUUCCCAACCGCAAUCCCUCUUUUUGUGCAGUUAUUGCAUUUUAAUUAUUAGUGGCAAUUGAUAACUCGCAUGUGCUCAUUUGUUGGUGUAGAAUGGACACUAUUUGAAUAGGUGGCAAUUAGACUGUAGCUUGGUUUGAAAGUAUUCUUUUGUCUGUAUUGAAAUGAUAUCUUAAGUAGCAAGACAGAUGAUUAGUUGGAAAUGGAAUGCAUACCCUUGCAUAUUACAUUAUAUAUUCACAAUUUUAGUACUGAGCUCUAUUAGAUAGUUAUUUAUUUCAUUUUAUAUUUUGAAUUUAGCAAAUCUUGCCACAUUAUGAAAUGUUCAUUUUGUAUGUUUUUUGUUCAGCACUACAAGUCUUUAAACAACGGAAUUAUCAGAUUCUUUUAUGCUGCUUUAAUGUUCUUGCAAAGAUUUCUAGAAUAAAUAUGAGUUUGAAACAAAUCCUUGACACCUACAUGAACCAGCUGCAAUUCAGAUCUCAAGUUUUAUGUU